UCAUGCAUUCACCAAUAGAGUUUGGUUGCACUUGCCAGAGUUAGCAAAUUCAAGUGGCACUAUUGCAAUGUAUAUUUGGUUUUGGCUUUUAGUUAAAUUCCAUCUUAUUUCAUUUUUUACCUAAAAGUUAGGAAACUUUAUUGUCACACAUUAUUUUUGCGGAAAGUGCUAUAAGAAAGAGAAACUUGUCAAAUUUUUGAAUAAAGAUCAAAUUUUAGCAGUCAUUGUUUAGUGGUGCAUUAUUUCUUGCAUUUGUGUGGUCUAGGUUUGAUAUUUUUCUGUUAGGAUAGUGAUUCUCUAAAGUUUGGUGCUGUCAUCAGGAUCUUUAUCAUUCCUAUCUUUAAACUUCACCUCUUCUACUUAGUGAACCCAUAUAGCUAUAGUAGAAAAGGCUGGGACCUUCAUGCUUUUCUUCCUAUCUUAACUUGUGGACUGGAAUCUAAUAAUUGACAAGUGCUUGUCUAUCCUUCUUUGUGGAAAAUCAUUUUUUUGUGACCCUUGAUAAAGCCACCUUCUUAAUCCCUCAGCAUGCUAUAAUGACAAAAUUGUAACAAGCCUCUCACAAGCCCAUCCUAUUGCAGGCUGCAUGAGUUGUCAUUGCCAAUUCACUGAUUCUUUUUGCAUAACACUUCAUUUAUAUUACUAGGUCUUCUUUUGUUUAUCCUUAACCUUCAUGGCACACCUAAGUUAAACUCCU
This 697-nucleotide long non-coding RNA is filed under the name Phoenix dactylifera (date palm). Its description in RNAcentral is "long non-coding RNA (PDAC_LNC003023)". The record is from RNAcentral. Lineage: Eukaryota; Viridiplantae; Streptophyta; Magnoliopsida; Arecales; Arecaceae.